Molecule: long non-coding RNA, 751 nt
Filed under: Felis catus (domestic cat)
Lineage: Eukaryota; Metazoa; Chordata; Mammalia; Carnivora; Felidae
Description: lncRNA (ENSFCAG00000042079.2)
Source: RNAcentral
AGGUAGAAUCAGAAAAAAAGCCAGAAGAUCGUUGUCAUCCCAUUUAGUCUUUGAAAUACGUCCCACCACUGCUGCAUUUGUACAGGGAAAACACUGAGACUACAUAGUCUGAAUCAUCCAACCCUUCUUUACAGCGGUAGUGCCCCAAUUUUCUAUGGAAAAAUUGUUUUCUAUGGAAAACAAAAGAAUUAAGUGACUCAAACUACAAUUCCCACAGUUGCUCAGAGGGACUGGGUGAGAGUGAUGGGUUUUCUGCCUCUGGGGUGUCCAUGCUGAGGCUAGAUGCCAACUUGUUUGUGACAUCAACGAUAUUAUGGAGGGUUUAUGGUGGGUUGAGUGUUGGAGGAGAACAGUGGUUUCCAGACCAUCCAACAUCCCCCAAACUGCUGUUGUAGACAACCUUUCAAAGAGCUGCUUGGGGGUGUGUAGGAUAAUGAAUAGAGGAUUGGGCAAGCUGCUGGAUCAGAAGAUAAAAGAAGUCUCCUUUACAGAUGGCCCAUCCUCAGCAUUGGCUUGAAGACACAUAGAUCUUAUCCAAAAUGUCUGUCUGAGGAACUACUGAAUUUCCUUUUACUUUAACAACUGGAUGAAUGCAACUCAGUUCAACUGUCAUUUCCCUCUAGUGAUUAUUCAUUACAGAUGACUGAUAAAUAGUUCAAAAAGUCAUGCUUACACAAUGUUGAAUACCAACUUUAAAAUGUAUUACUUCAACAAUUUCAAAUAAACUUCCAAGCAAGAAGAACUGAUUUCA